Molecule: ribosomal RNA, 490 nt
Filed under: uncultured bacterium
Lineage: Bacteria
Description: partial 16S ribosomal RNA
Rfam family: Bacterial small subunit ribosomal RNA
Source: RNAcentral
AUUGAACGCUGGCGGCAGGCCUAACACAUGCAAGUCGAACGGUAACAGAAAGCAGCUUGCUGCUUUGCUGACGAGUGGCGGACGGGUGAGUAAUGUCUGGGAAACUGCCUGAUGGAGGGGGAUAACUACUGGAAACGGUAGCUAAUACCGCAUAACGUCGCAAGACCAAAGAGGGGGACCUUCGGGCCUCUUGCCAUCGGAUGUGCCCAGAUGGGAUUAGCUUGUUGGUGGGGUAACGGCUCACCAAGGCGACGAUCCCUAGCUGGUCUGAAAGGAUGACCAGCCACACUGGAACUGAGACACGGUCCAGACUCCUACGGGAGGCAGCAGUGGGGAAUAUUGCACAAUGGGCGCAAGCCUGAUGCAGCCAUGCCGCGUGUAUGAAGAAGGCCUUCGGGUUGUAAAGUACUUUCAGCGGGGAGGAAGGGAGUAAAGUUAAUACCUUUGCUCAUUGACGUUACCCGCAGAAGAAGCACCGGCUAACUCCGUG